AGGGAGGCCCCCUGGGUCUCAUGUUUCAUCUGUUAGAAGAGAAGAGAUGCAUAAAUAUAUAAAAUCAUGUUUUUGAAUAGGUGAAGUGCGAAAUGAUCAGGGGGUUCGGUUUCCCCUGCAAAUGGACCACCAGACAAUUGAAGGGAUUAAAUGCUUAUUAAAAGUGCAGGUAAAA
Molecule: long non-coding RNA, 175 nt
Organism: Suricata suricatta (meerkat)
Lineage: Eukaryota; Metazoa; Chordata; Mammalia; Carnivora; Herpestidae
Exons: 2
Source: RefSeq, a predicted model, not a curated record